CAGCAGUGCCUAAUAUAUUUGGGGCUUCCGCUUCCCAUCUGCAGAUUCUUCCCCUUCCUUCGCGUUUGUCGGCUCUCGUCCCCGCUUCCCUUCGUCGCGCUCUGCCACCGCGUUGCGCCGCCGCCGCCCCUGUCUGCUCUGCCCUGCGCAUCCACCAGCGGUGCAUCUCCUACGGUGGAUCUAGCCGUCGUCAACCCCCAUUGUUAGGAACACAGAGCUUUCCUUUCCUCCGUCCUCAUUGUUCCUCGGUUUACCAAAACCCUAGGUAUGUCGCAUCAGUGUGCCCUGUGCUUGGCGCUUCACCUUCGGCUGGGGUACCCUGCAUUGGAGCCUUCGCUUCGGCUCUGUACGUCUGCGUCUCCCGUUGGUCCUCCAAGAGCGGCGGGCCUGCCGGGCCCUCGCAUUGCUGCCUCCGUUUUUCUCUGGGCGACAGGUGCUUCGGUGGGGUUCUCUACCUUUGCUUCGCCAUCGUCGACGGUCCGGCUUCAACCACGCCGCCGUUCCUCGGGCCAUACUACCUUCCACUCGCUCAACAGUCUGCAUUGUUUUUAUCUACUGGUGAGGAUGCAAAGGAUUAAUGAGAGGAUGGAGGAUGUAGAAGCAUCAAUCCCUGUGUAUGAUAAGGUUCUAGCUUUUGAAAAUAGGAUGGUGGUGGAGGAUUUCACAGCACCAAUGUGAAAAUCCUGAAAUGGAAGGCUACUCAUGCAAUCCAUCAGGCCAAUACAUGAGUUUCCUUUAGUACAAAACAAUAUCGGCUAAAUAUUCCAUCCCUAGCCGUUCAAGCUGACACCUGCUCUGAUCGUCUCGGCUCCAACAAAAUUCUGAAUCGUCAGCUAUAGAUCAUCUGAAUUUAUGAAAAAUCUAGGUAUCUACUACCUUAGGAUGACAUAGAUAUGCCGUUGCUCAAAUACUGAAGAAAAUACAGCCAGCGGAAAACAUACAUUGCAGACAAUGAAGCUCAUGUUACUCAUUGACUGAAACGAAAGGCCUCAUCCAGUAAACUGAUCACUUAUGGGAACAAACCAGUUAGCAUGUUGCUCCGUCAACAACUUUCAGCGUGUUCAGACUUCACAGCCGAAAGCUUCGGUUAUAGCUUCGUCGAUCACAUGCAGUUGUGUACUUCUUGCAUAACUAAAAAACAAACAUGCUACCCUAUUUGUGUGUGGAACCGCGUCUUGGUCUGUAAAUCAAAAUUCAAUUUGCACGAGCACCUGCACUUCAACUACAUUUUAUAUUUGUUAUUUA
This is an RNA transcript of Sorghum bicolor (sorghum), 1245 nucleotides long. RefSeq lists it as uncharacterized. The record is from RefSeq and is a predicted model, not a curated record. NCBI's taxonomy places the organism in Eukaryota, Viridiplantae, Streptophyta, Magnoliopsida, Poales, Poaceae. The transcript is spliced from 5 exons.